Molecule: long non-coding RNA, 1365 nt
Filed under: Panax ginseng (ginseng)
Lineage: Eukaryota; Viridiplantae; Streptophyta; Magnoliopsida; Apiales; Araliaceae
Description: long non-coding RNA (PGIN_LNC003792)
Source: RNAcentral
UUUUAUCCUCUGAAAAUGGAAAUAAAUAUAAAUGAAAAACAGUUUGAAUGAAUAUAUAAAACAUCCAUGCCUAUCCUAUCCUAUCUAUAACACCAACCAAACCAAACCAAACCCAGCUGCAGUUUACAGCAGGUAGAUUAGAAGAAAGAAAGGAGAAGAUGGUGUUCCGGACUGACGACCCAACAAACAAUACUAUCCUCCUUCAGUAUUUCGAGAUCAAAAAGUUCUUUCUUUGUUUAAUUUCUAAUCCAUCCCAAUUUCACCCCUUACAUUUAUAAUUCUGGGUUGGUUUGUGCCUGUUGAAUUGGAUCUCAAGUCAAUUACAGCAGCUUAUGGCUUCGAUCAAUUUGUUGUCCCGGUCAAGGGGAAGCUCAGUGACCCCAGCCGCCAAGGAAUCCAGACCCAAGCUUGAGGAAAAUCUCAACGCCUUCAAUUGGCAGUUUUGGCAUGGUUUCAAUCGGCAGGGAUGGUAGAAUUUAGAGAUUUUAAUGGAGGAUUAAUGGCAGAUUAUUGGUCACAUUAAUGGCGGAUUAAUGGAGAAUUUGGGGGUUUUAAAUGGAAGAAGAAAUCUGGGGAUAAAGGAGGAAAUUUAUAAUAUUGAAGAGGUUAGUUUUGUCUAAAAAAAAAUUGUUCAGAUAUACCUCUCGAUGGUUUAGAAUUAAUUUUAUAUCUAGCCGAUUAAGACACACAAAAAAUUUACCAAACAAGUUGUGCCUUUGACAGAACCACUUAUUAAGAGCUGUUAAGAGCUAAUUAAACAAAGCCUAAAUGAUGUUAAUUCAAUUCAGUAUAGGAUGACAUAUUCAUUUUUUCAUCCUUUCCCAUCACUCUAAAUUCUCUCACUUUUGAGGGGGAAAUUUUGAGCAAAAAAUUAAAUCAAUUCUACUCCAAAAUCCCUUUACUUCUUCUCUAAAAAAAAACUCACAAACAUAGAAUUUAGAGAGAUUUAUUUUAAUUAUUUACCCUUCCCUUCCCUUCCCUUCCCUUCCCUUCCCUUUCCCUCAAAUAAAAACUUACAAACACACCAAAAUCCUUUUACAUUUCCAUUUCCUUUUUAAAGUUUUUCCUUGUUCAAAGAUUUGUUGACUGAGCUGUCUGUUUCCACUAAUCAGAUUGUCUUUUUCUGCAAAAACUUCAUUUUCUUCUUUUGAUAGGUUACGGUUAAAUUCAUCAAAUACGUACUACAUGCACAACUUCUGCAACUUUAAAUUUAUCAAGAUUAUAAACCCUCUAAGUUUUACUAUGCAUUGAAUAGUCAAGAAAAAUAGAUUCGAUUGAUUUAACAUCAGAUUUUCCAAGAUUACCAUUAGUAUUUAUAAUAAAACAUUUAGCAUCAUAAAAACUUUAGAAAGCAUGAUGUUAUGA